Molecule: long non-coding RNA, 2021 nt
Organism: Phasianus colchicus (ring-necked pheasant)
Lineage: Eukaryota; Metazoa; Chordata; Aves; Galliformes; Phasianidae
Source: Ensembl
UAGAGAGAAUGUGACCAGAAUAUGGCACCUGCAGGGAGGUUCCUGCAGUGAGAUGCCAGCCUAGGGAGACCCAGGGAGGGCUGCGAGGGGCAGAGGUGACCAUGGCAGAGCUGAGCAGCCACAUCCAGCAGCACCAGCAAGAGAUGGAAUUCUGUCAGUCCCAGGGCCAGAGAGAAGCAGUAGUGCUGGAGCCACAGCAUGGAGGGGCCCAGACACGCCAGGACUCACAGCAGCAGGACACGCCAGCCUUCCUACAGAUGCUGCAGGUGGACCUGGACAUCUGCAGGGACCUGAACAGCAUGCGGCUGGCCCAGCUGCAUCUGCAGCAGCGUGUGGUGGAGCAGAAGCACCAGGACUUGAUCUCUCAGAAGCAUCGUUACCAGGCAAUGAUGGAGCAGGACCAGAAGGACACAUCUCAGAUAGAGGCCACCUCUGCAUAUUCCUGUAGUAGUUCCGGUGCAAGUAAUGAUCUCCUGGAGGAGUACACAGAGCAACUCGAGCAGGUGGCCAUGCAAGCAGGUAGAGAGCACUGCAGACAGAGGUGGGAAGUCCAGGAGCAUCAGUACUGGUCGUCGACAGGGCACAGCACUGCUAAGGAAGAAGCCCAGGGCAGGAGGAGGCAGUGCCAGCAAGCAGCCCUGUCUCGAGCAGCCCAAGUCCCAGCACGGUCACUGGCAGCCCAGAGCUGCCUACAGCACAAGAAGGAACAGCUGCAGCCACAUGCAGGGAGCACCAUGCAGUGCACAGAGGAACAGCCGUGCUCUUGUGCAAAGAGCAGCAUGCAGCACACAGCUGACAGCAGCAUAGUGGAGCCGCGAGCGCCGCAGGAGGUAGCAGAAAGCAGGGAGAUGGCAGUGUGGCUCCAGAUGGAGCUGAGCCAGUGGCAACAGAAGCAGCAGGUGACUCUGGAGCAGUCACUGCAACACAUGCAUGCUGCUGCCCAUGCCAAACAGGAACUACAGAAGAGCCAAGAGCAACUCCAAGCCCUGAAGAAGCAGCUAAAGGCUCAGAAGGAGCAGAACCGGACCCUGCAGCACAGCCUGGAAAAGCAGCAAGAGGUGCUGACAGCCACCAAGGCUCGGGAGAUGCAAAGCUUGCAGCAGCUCAGUAGACACAAGCAGACAAUCCACGACCUACAGCAGAAAGCAGCCUCGAGCAGAAAGAAGGUGGCAGAGCUGCUACAGCAGGUGGAGGAAGUGGCAUCCCUGAAGGCAGAGCUGGCCCAAGCCCAGAGAAAGAUAGGCCACAAUCUUCCACUCCUUUGUCGUUAUGAGAAAGAGAGGCAGCAGCUCCACAGGGAACUGGAGAAGCAACAGAGGGCCCAGGUGCAGAGCCAGCAGGAGGCCCGCUCCUUCCAGGAGAAGCUGCAAAAGCUGAGCAGCCAAGUUCAGUACUGGCAGGAGUUACACCAGGACACUCAGCAAACUCUGGCUAGACGGGAAGAUGAGCUGUCUGUCUGUAAUGCGGAGAUGGAUUUCAAGGAAGAAUUCAUCAAGGCCAUGAGACAGGCUCAGGCCAGGAACAGGCAGAACCAGAACCACAGCCCAAGGGCAGGAGGAGUGCAACCUGAGCCCCAGGCACCGCUGAAGGACAGAUCCUGGCCUACAGGCAGGACAGAGGUAAAAACCCUGCACUCUUCCCACACCCCAGCCUGUUCUAACAGGUUGCACCAGGACAGGAAUCUGAUGCUGAUCAAUAACAGCCAGAAUGUGAAAGAGCAGAUGCAGUCAAAUGAGAAGCAACACCACAAGAUCCAGCAGCAAGUCAAGCAGGCUGCAGAGUUCACAGGCAAAAACCAGCAUCUUCAAGACACACUGGACAGCUUGCAUGUGGAAAACACAUACUUCAGGUCUAGAACACAUGUACAGUACCACAAUCAUGAGCAGAUGAAGGCUCUACAGGGCAACAACCUGACUGCACGAGCCCUGCAGAACUUGGCAGGGUUGUCUCUGCCUGGAACUUACCUCCAGGAUGAGAAGUUACACAAAACAACGGAAGGGUUAAAGACUCACAACCUUUAA